Camelus dromedarius (Arabian camel) is the source of this 2927-nucleotide long non-coding RNA. RefSeq lists it as uncharacterized. The transcript is spliced from 10 exons. NCBI's taxonomy places the organism in Eukaryota, Metazoa, Chordata, Mammalia, Artiodactyla, Camelidae. The record is from RefSeq and is a predicted model, not a curated record.
AUCUCACCGUAAGGUGCAUUCUUAAAUACAUAGGUGAGGACUGUCAUGAUUUGCGCAACUCGCUUGCAAAUAGUUCAACAGUAUUAACAAUGAUUGAAUUUAGAUGGUGGGCAUAUGGGAAUUUAUCAUCCUAUUAAACAGUUUUCUGUACUUCUGAGACUUAGAAUAAAACAUUGGAAGGAAACUGUUAGACAUAAUGCUCUAUGUGAAGUAAUUUGUUCCCUUUGUGAAAUUCUAGGAAGGUUAAAUUGCAUGUUCAUAACAUCAAGAAAAUCACAAGCAUUUACGAUGUAAUCAGAACUACCUGAGGAUCUGUGAAACUUGGUGUGUUAUUCUGGGAGAUCAUCAGGACUUCUGGGUAUUUGGAGGUACUGACCUAACCAGUGGAACUGCUGAUUUAUAAGAAGUUGUCCAGAAUUUUGGAAAACUGAUUAGUAGAGGCUGGAGACCGAGAAGAACUACCAUUUUUGCCAGCUGGGAUGCAGAAAAAUUUGGACUUCUGGGUUCCACAAAUGGGCUGAGCUCUGUCAUAAUGGAAACUCUGCAGCAGAAUCAGCUGUCAUCUAUCCCGUGUGGCCAAGUGCAGAGGAGAAUGUGAAAACACUCCAGGAGAGAGAGGUUGCAUAUAUCAAUGCAGACUCAUACACAGAAGGCAAUUAUACCCUCAGAGUUGACUGUACACCUCUUCUUUUCCAGUUGGUAUAUAAACUGACAAAAGAGUGGAGGAAUCAGACAUCAUUCAUCUGGAGAAAUGCUGUUGGUUGCUGAGGGCUCAAUCCCGAACUGGAUGAUUUGACUUAGAGACAUUUGGCCCAUUGGCUUCACCACCAAUUUGUCCAUCUCUGAGUGAAGGUGGGAAUCCUUCUAUUUUCUACAAAUGUUCUUUGGUAAACACGUGAGCCUUGUUCCACCUUUGGAGCCUUGUGUUUAUUUAAUGCUUUUGGUGAAAAUCAUGACAGCCACAUAGAUUUUAAGGAGAUAUCCUGUGGGUUAUCAGCUUGUUGCAGAGGACCUCUGGCUGAAAGACAGAAAUUUUGCUUCAAGGUAUUUGAUGUUGACGGUGAUGGAGUUCUCUCUAGGGUUGACAUGAGAGACACGUGGUUGCACAUUUAGAGGUCUGGAAGGACAACUGCACCGAUGAUACCCUGGUAAAGUCUGAUUGUAUACAUCUUCUUGAAUGUAAACUUCCAACAGGAACAUAGAGUGAAGAAUUUUUUAAAACAGGUUGAGAAAAAGAUUUCUUACUACUUCUAGGUUCUAUAUUAUGCUACUCAAAAUAUUCAUAGCCAAAGAUGCAAAAUUGGGAAGAGAAUUUGCCUUAGAAAAUUUAAUAAGCUGAAUGUAUUAUAUUAAAAAAAUGAAACCACUGGAAAAUUGUCAUAAAUUUUUAAGGCAAACAAGCAAUCUAUUUCUGUAAUUAAAAAGAAAAAAAAAGUUGACUGAAAAUACUUUAUACUUCAGCUACUGGCUAAUAAAAAUGAUACCUUCUCUAUCCUAACUACUGAUUUGGGUUUCUGGUUUUAAAGGAAUUACAUGUGGAUGUAUCCAACAUUGUAGAAGACACAUAGAAUGCACAUGACACCACAAAGAAUGGCCAUCUUAACUCUAGAGGAAUAUCAUAUCUGGAGUGUGAAAAAUGUUCUUGCCAAUGAGUUUUUGAAUCUACUUUUCCAGGUAUGUUUAAGGUAAAUGACAGAGACCGAGGGCAGUGGUACCAGUAGUUCUACAUCUUUUCCAUUAUGUAGUAGUUAGACAACUAGACUACAAAACCAUAUAUUGUCAAAAGAACUGCAUUAACCUGUACACCACCUGCAGAUGGUAAGUUAGAGCGUGCAUGCUUCUCAGAGUCACAAUGUGCAUGAUAGGAAAGUAGAGUAUAGCUGAUAAUGUUUAUCUUAAUAACUCAUGAUAGAGCAGAUUGUAGACACAUAGAAAAGAAUUUAAAAUGUAAAAGCCAUUAUAAUUUGCUAUUUUUCUUUACCUUUUUUUUUUUUUUUUUAAGACCCUUCCUAACAAGUAAGGCAGUGUGGACAGAGACAUAGAUCAUAAGUCGGCAGCUGUAAAUUUUUCACAAAGUAUACAAUCUUUCCAGUUAGGAGGUUAUUUUACAUGCAAAUCUGUUUCUUAAUUUUCUUUUAUUCUUUCUUUCUUUCUUUUUUUUUCUUUUUUUUAAUUUAAUUCUUUAGAAGGUCCAAAAAAGAUUGAAGGAGAAAGGAGGAAAAAAAGCUGUCAGGGGUGAACAUGAAAUCAUAAAACUUGCCAGAUUUUAACUAUUUUCCAGUUAAAGUAGUUCUCUUUGCUCCAAUUUAAAGAAACAACUUAUAGUUUCCCAUUUUUCAUAGUUCUUUAUAAAUAUAUGUUGAUUUAAUAAUAUUUUACAGGGUGUGAGUAGGGACAGAUUGGAAGUUCAAGAUUUGUAAAUACUGACAGGUAUAUAUAGAAUAGAUAAACAAGUUUAUACUGUAUAGCACAGGGAAAUAUAUUCAAAAUUUUGUAGUAGCUCAUGGGGAAAAAAUAUGAAAACAAAUAUACGUAUAUUCGUAAAGUACUGAAAAAUUGUGCUGUACACCAGAAAUUGACACAACAUUGUAAACGGACUAUAACUCAGUAAAAAAAUAAAAAUAAGAUAAAACUGUUAGAACACUAUAAAAAAAUAGUAUUUUAGAUUCUUCUUAUUUUAUUCUCCUUUUCUUAUAAAAGCACCCCUAUGAAGAUCAAUAAGACUUGAUAUCUUUAUAUCUAUCAUGAUUCUCCAUUGUAAAUAGAGUAACCUGCCUGUGACACAGCUAUGUUAGAAUAAAUGAAAAUUGGACUCUUCCUGACAGCUAAUAAUUAAUGUAUAUUUAAAGCAUAUGAAAUCUGAUAAGUCUAUGAUACCCAUUUAAAUCAAUCAGUUGCUCCACUGUCAGUUAUCAGCCAGGAUCUAA